AACGAGGCCGACCUGCGGCUGAGUUACCUGCGGAGGGAUCAUUACCGAGUUUACAACUCCCAAACCCCUGUGAACAUACCUAUACGUUGCCUCGGCGGAUCAGCCCGCGCCCCGUAAAACGGGACGGCCCGCCCGAGGACCCCUAAACUCUGUUUUUAGUGGAACUUCUGAGUAAAACAAACAAAUAAAUCAAAACUUUCAACAAUGGAUCU
RNAcentral lists this unclassified non-coding RNA (212 nucleotides) under soil metagenome. RNAcentral's name for it is "partial contains 5.8S ribosomal RNA, internal transcribed spacer 2, and large subunit ribosomal RNA". The record is from RNAcentral.